Molecule: small nuclear RNA, 101 nt
Organism: Salvia hispanica
Lineage: Eukaryota; Viridiplantae; Streptophyta; Magnoliopsida; Lamiales; Lamiaceae
Source: RefSeq, a predicted model, not a curated record
AUCUAUUUGGUGAAAUCUAAUAAAAUUGGAACAAUACACAGAAUAUUAGCAUGACUCAUUCACAAGAUUACGUGCAUAAAUCAGAAAAUAUAUUAUUAUUA